UGUCGUUGGUGGACAGGCAUACAGCCCGGGGCAAACUUCCGCUAUGUCCUCGUCCCGCACCCCGUGCUCCCCCUGCCUCCCUCGCACCUCGCCCACGGCCUCCGGGCGGACUGCGAGGGGCUGAUCCAGAGCCUUUUCCUUGAUUUGAUUGUGGACCAUACGCGCUGCGUUAGCUCGCCACCCGAAAAGGUGCAUGGGACUGUGUGAAUAGCCCCCGGCAAGUGGGCAACCGGAACUCGUCGUGCGACGGCCGCGCACGAUAAGUGGCCUACCCUCCGGGCGCCCACCUGGCCGCCGCGUCGCGAGUGCUGAGGCGGAGCCAUGCGGGCCACGCUGAUAACAGAAAUUGCCAUCGCUGGAAAAACAUUGGGCCACCGGUAAAAUACGGCUGGGCCGUGCGGGGCGCCAUCGGGGCGGCGUGUAUGUUGUGGCCGUGAAGACGGCCGAAACUGCCUCGACGACGCGGUGCCUGCCCCGAGUCCACCAUGGGAGUGUUUGGAAAAUGCGGCCACUGCGGCUGACGCGCUGCGGACCCGAUAUACCUCCAUCCAUACCAUCCAUAUACCGUCCAUGAGGACUCCUCCGUCAUCCACAUGCCUGCGUAUGAACCUGUUCGUUGUCAGUAUACGACCAGUCGCAAUUAUUCGACCGUACCAUCAUUCGUUCGCGCAAAGGAGAAAGAAUAAACUGAACCAAAAUAUUA
Long non-coding RNA from Frankliniella occidentalis (western flower thrips), 703 nucleotides. RefSeq lists it as uncharacterized. The record is from RefSeq and is a predicted model, not a curated record. The transcript is spliced from 3 exons. Lineage: Eukaryota; Metazoa; Arthropoda; Insecta; Thysanoptera; Thripidae.